AAGGAUCAUUAACACGAUUCUUAUACAAACAACCGUGAACAUGUUAUCUACCUCACGCUUUAUAACCGUCCUGGUCGGUGAAGGGUGGAAGUCGCCUCGGUGACUUUGGCCUGCCUGGACUACCGAGUCUUGGAGCUCGAAGGUUGUAGAGUUGGAGGCAUUCUCGCCCUAGUUAUCUCCAUCUUUGAUGGCUAGGGUGUUUUAACCAAUAUUAACCCCAUUAAAUUAAUCGAACUAAUUAAGUGCUUAUAGGCUGCAAAGCCUGUAGGACACCAAGUUAUACGUAACUGAGAACAACUCUUAGCAAUGGAUAUCUUGGUUCCC
RNAcentral lists this unclassified non-coding RNA (324 nucleotides) under uncultured fungus. RNAcentral describes it as "partial contains 18S rRNA, ITS1, 5.8S rRNA, ITS2 and 28S rRNA". The record is from RNAcentral. Lineage: Eukaryota; Fungi.